UACGUAGGUGGCAAGCGUUGUCCGGAUUUACUGGGCGUAAAGAGCGCGCAGGCGGUCGUUCAAGUCGCGUGUGAAAGCCCCCGGCUCAACUGGGGAGGGUCACGCGAUACUGAUCGACUCGAAGGCAGGAGAGGGUAGUGGAAUUCCCGGUGUAGUGGUGAAAUGCGUAGAUAUCGGAGGAACACCAGUGGCGAAGGCGACUACCUGGCCUGUUCUGACGCUGAGCGCGAAGCUAGGGAGCAACGGGAU
Molecule: ribosomal RNA, 249 nt
Filed under: uncultured bacterium
Lineage: Bacteria
Description: partial 16S ribosomal RNA
Rfam family: Bacterial small subunit ribosomal RNA
Source: RNAcentral